UACGUAGGGUGCAAGCGUUGUCCGGAAUUAUUGGGCGUAAAGAGCUUGUAGGCGGUUUGUCGCGUCUGCUGUGAAAUUUCGGGGCUCAACCCCGAACUUGCAGUGGGUACGGGCAGACUAGAGUGUGGUAGGGGAGAUUGGAAUUCCUGGUGUAGCGGUGGAAUGCGCAGAUAUCAGGAGGAACACCGAUGGCGAAGGCAGAUCUCUGGGCCAUUACUGACGCUGAGGAGCGAAAGCGUAGGGAGCGAACAGG
RNAcentral lists this ribosomal RNA (253 nucleotides) under uncultured bacterium. Its description in RNAcentral is "partial 16S ribosomal RNA". It matches the Rfam family "Bacterial small subunit ribosomal RNA", at positions 524 to 776 of the family's 1533-position model. The record is from RNAcentral.